Molecule: ribosomal RNA, 404 nt
Filed under: uncultured bacterium
Lineage: Bacteria
Description: bacterial SSU rRNA
Rfam family: Bacterial small subunit ribosomal RNA
Source: RNAcentral
UGGGGAAUCUUGGACAAUGGACGAAAGUCUGAUCCAGCAAUACCGCGUGAAUGAUGAAGGCCUUAGGGUUGUAAAGUUCUUUCGAUGGGGAAGAUAAUGACGGUACCCAUAUAAGAAGCUCCGGCUAACUCCGUGCCAGCAGCCGCGGUAAUACGGAGGGAGCUAGCGUUGUUCGGAAUUACUGGGCGUAAAGAGCGCGUAGGCGGUCAAUUAAGUUGGGAGUGAAAUCCCAGGGCUUAACCCUGGAAUUGCUUUCAAAACUGAUUGACUAGAGUACGAUAGAGGAUGGUGGAAUUCCUAGUGUAGAGGUGAAAUUCUUAGAUAUUAGGAGGAACAUCAGAGGCGAAGGCGGCCAUCUGGGUCGUUACUGACGCUGAGGUGCGAAAGCGUGGGGAGCAAACAGG